UAUAUAUAUAUAUAUAUAUAUAUUAUAAAAUAACAGAAUACGAGAAUGCAUGGUCACAUAUGUCAACUAUACUAUUGUAUCCUCAGCUACAUGAAGUAGAUGUAUUGCAUGACCACAUGUCUAAACUAUAUAACGUCAUGUGGUGUUCCAUAGACAUACAAUCUGGUACACCAAUGGUUUGACUCCAGCGAAGACAAACAAUAGCAGGAAUGGACCAGAAAAAAUAUUAAAAAAU
Molecule: small RNA, 235 nt
Filed under: Arabidopsis thaliana (thale cress)
Lineage: Eukaryota; Viridiplantae; Streptophyta; Magnoliopsida; Brassicales; Brassicaceae
Description: ATSL279030
Source: RNAcentral